This 1506-nucleotide ribosomal RNA is filed under the name Candidatus Thorarchaeota archaeon. Its description in RNAcentral is "bacterial SSU rRNA". It matches the Rfam family "Archaeal small subunit ribosomal RNA". The record is from RNAcentral. Lineage: Archaea; Promethearchaeati; Candidatus Thorarchaeota.
CAACUCUAGUUGAUCCUGCUAGAGGACACUGCUAUCGGCUUGGGGUUAAGACAUGCAAGUGGAACGGGCUCGCAUCCGAGUCCGUCGCGAACGGCUCAGUAGUGUCGCUAACCUACCCUGUGGAGGGGCAUAACGCCGGGAAACUGGCGCUAAUUCCCCAUAGGAGCAAUGUUCUGGAAAUGAUAUUGCUCUGAAAAGGGUGUCCCAGGUAUGUGGGGCUCUCCGCCACAGGACGGGGCGGCACCGGAUCAUACUUGUAAGUGGGGUAACUGCCCACUUAGGUUAUGACCCGAACGGGCGAUGUAAGUCGUGGCCCGGAGAAGGGCACUGAGACAAGGGCCCUAGCCCCACGGGGUGCAGCAGUUACGAAACCUCACCAAUGCGCGAAAGCGUGAGUGGGCCAAGCCGAGUGAUGGGGGAUAACUCCAUCUGUGGCGGAUCCGCAAGAUGGACCGCUAGAAAGGAGAGGGCAAGGCUGGUGCCAGCCGCCGCGGUAAAACCAGCUCUUCGAGUGGUGUCCACGAUUAUUGAGCUUAAAGCGUCCGUAGCCGGCUUGGUAGGUCCCUGCUUAAAUCCGGCCGCCCAACGGUCGGCUUGGUAGGGAUACCGCCUCGCUUGGGGACGGGAGACGGCGACGGUAUUCCACGGGUAGGGGUGAAAUCCUAUGAUCCGUGGAGGACCACCAGUGGCGAAGGCGGUCGCCGAGAACGUGCCCGACGGUGAGGGACGAAACCCAGGGUAGCGAAUCGGAUUAGAUACCCGAGUAGUCCUGGGCGUAAACGAUGCCCGUUAAGUGUUGCACGGCUACGAGCCGCUGCAGUGCUGUAGCGAAAGCGAUAAACGGGCCGCUUGGGAAGUACGGCCGCAAGGCUGAAUUCCCCUCAGCCUAAUAGAACAGUGCCUGAGGGGACAGCAGACUUAAAGGAAUUGGCGGGGGAGCACCACAAGGGGUGGAGCUUGCGGUUUAAUUGGACUCAACGCCGGAAAUCUUACCCGCCCAGACAGCCGAAUGAGGGCCAGACUGAUGAUCUUGCCCGACGAGCUGAGAGCUGGUGCAUGGCCAUCGUAAAUUCGUGCCGUGAGGUAUCGGCUUAAGUGCUGCAACGAAUGAGAUCCCCGCCCCUAGUUGCCAGCCGGGGGCUUCGGCCCUGUCGGGGCACACUAGGGGGACCGCCGUCGACAAAGACGGAGGAAGGUGGGGGCCACGGUAGGUCAGUAUGCCGCGAUAUGGGCGGGGCCACACGCGUGCUACAAUGGCCGGGACAAUGCGUUACGACACCGAGAGGUGAAGUCAAUCGCGAAACCCGGUCGUAGUUGGGAUCGCGGGUUGGAACCCACCCGCGUGAACCUGGAAUCCCUAGUAUCCGCGUGUCACUAUCGCGCGGAGAAUACGUCCCUGCUUCUUGCACACACCGCCCGUCGCUCCACGCGAGCGGCCCUGGGGUGAGGCGUCGUCCACUGGGCGAUGACGAAUCUUGGGGUCGCAAGUGGGGAGAAGUCGUAAAA